RNAcentral lists this ribosomal RNA (468 nucleotides) under uncultured bacterium. RNAcentral describes it as "partial 16S ribosomal RNA". It matches the Rfam family "Bacterial small subunit ribosomal RNA", at positions 28 to 507 of the family's 1533-position model. The record is from RNAcentral.
GACGAACGCUGGCGGCGUGCUUAACACAUGCAAGUCGAACGGAAAGGCCCUGCUUUUGUGGGGUGCUCGAGUGGCGAACGGGUGAGUAACACGUGAGUAACCUGCCCUUGACUUUGGGAUAACUUCAGGAAACUGGGGCUAAUACCGGAUAGGAGCUCCUGCUGCAUGGUGGGGGUUGGAAAGUUUCGGCGGUUGGGGAUGGACUCGCGGCUUAUCAGCUUGUUGGUGGGGUAGUGGCUUACCAAGGCUUUGACGGGUAGCCGGCCUGAGAGGGUGACCGGCCAAAUUGGGACUGAGAUAAGGCCCAGACUCCUAAGGGAGGCAGCAGGGGGGAAUAAUGCAAAAAGGGCGGAAGCCUGAAGCAGCAACGCCGCGGGCGGGAUGAAGGCCUUCGGGUUGUAAACCGCUUUCGCCUGUGACGAAGCGGGAGUGAAGGUAAUGGGUAAAGAAGCAACGGCUAACUAAGUG